RNAcentral lists this ribosomal RNA (497 nucleotides) under uncultured bacterium. RNAcentral's name for it is "partial 16S ribosomal RNA". It matches the Rfam family "Bacterial small subunit ribosomal RNA", at positions 28 to 507 of the family's 1533-position model. The record is from RNAcentral.
GAUGAACGCUGGCGGCGUGCCUAAUACAUGCAAGUCGAGCGAACAGAUGAGGAGCUUGCUCCUCUGACGUUAGCGGCGGACGGGUGAGUAACACGUGGAUAACCUACCUAUAAGACUGGGAUAACUUCGGGAAACCGGAGCUAAUACCGGAUAAUAUCUUGAACCGCAUGGUUCAAUAGUGAAAGACGGUUUUGCUGUCACUUAUAGAUGGAUCCGCGCCGCAUUAGCUAGUUGGUAAGGUAACGGCUUACCAAGGCAACGAUGCGUAGCCGACCUGAGAGGGUGAUCGGCCACACUGGAACUGAGACACGGUCCAGACUACUACGGGAGGCAGCAGUAGGGAAUCUUCCGCAAUGGGCGAAAGCCUGACGGAGCAACGCCGCGUGAGUGAUGAAGGUCUUCGGAUCGUAAAACUCUGUUAUUAGGGAAGAACAAAUGUGUAAGUAACUGUGCACGUCUUGACGGUACCUAAUCAGAAAGCCACGGCUAACUACGUG